AUGGCGCCGUCGGUGCCGAGGAAGAAGCGCAAGGUGAGCCUCCCGAAGAACGAGGAGGUCACGGCCAGGAUCUUCGAGAAGCACCGCUCCAUGGCGGCGCAGCAGCCGGCCAGCCUCCUAGACCACCAGGCUCGCGCGCUCUGCGCCGCCUACACCGGUGUCUACGCCGCCAAGGAGCCCGUCCGGACCCCCGGCGACCUGGCCCGUCUCAAGGGAGUUGGAGGUUGGGUUGUUGACGUCAUGGAAGACUCCUUUCAGGGUCCAGCCUUGAUUUGUCCCCUUCGAGAAGUAAUACACCAGGAGAAACGGAACACACUAAACAAACCUUAUGUGCCACGGUUGAAAUCAGCUGCUUAUGCAAUAAUGAUCACACUCUACAUGGAAAUGGAAAGAGGGAAGGAAUUUAUGAUGAGGCAAGAGCUUAUUGACGCCGCUGAGGCCAGUGGUCUGUCACAACAUGCAAUAGACCCAAACAACAGUAGGAAUUCUUGGAAUGAUGGUUACAGUUACACUGGAUGGAAUAGCAUGAAGACGUUAACAAAUAAGAAUCUGGUUGAGAAAAAGAGUAAUCCUGCAAAGUAUUACCUAACAGAAAAAGGCAAAGAGACAGCUCGUGAUUGUCUCGCACGAUCUGGAUUGGACGGUCCUGCAGGACCUUUAACGUCGGCCGGUCAUCCUGUAGUUGUGCUCAGUGAUGCAGGUUCUGAUGAAUAUGAUGGAAGCAGUCCCCUGCAUCCAGACGAGGACCCAACGCACAACCAUCUAAUAUGGCAGUGGCGAGGGGCGGUGGUGUGGAUCUCUGCAAGCAAGUCUGGGAAGUUGGUGUUGCACCACUGUCCACCGACCGUCUCGCGAAAGCAGGACCAUAGGAAUUGGGCUGUGGAGCAGGAGAAGAAGAUGUGGUUAGCAUCCUCCACCGUGCCACACAGGGGACAUAUCCUGGAGUCCCAAGCGGCCACCUCAAGGGGGCCGAAGUGGCGCCGGAAAGCGAGACGCCCUAAGUCAAUAAGGGUCGUCUUGACAGAGAACCGAGGGUCAACCGCUAUGGAGAAUAGUUCAGGGAAUCGGGCGGGUUCUGCUGAAAAGUCUUUACUAGCUAUGCCACCUCAUCAAUCUAAUGACAGUUUUCUGAAAGCUUAUGAAGUGGUGCCCCGUUCCAGAAGAAAAGUUGUUGAUAAUAUACGCUCGCAGUUUAAUAUUCCUGUAGAGAUUAAACACUUGCCUGUUGGAGAUGCUCUUUGGAUUGCUCGCCAUAAAGAACUUGACAUGGAGUAUGUUCUUGAUUUCAUUGUUGAAAGAAAAAAUGUGGAUGAUUUUCUUGGCUCAAUUAAAGACAACAGAUACAAAGAUCAAAAACUAAGACUGAAGAAAUGUGGGUUAAGGAAGCUAAUAUAUCUAGUUGAAGGGGAUGUAAACACUGUAGAUGGAUCAGAGAGCGUUAAAACGGCAACCACUAGGUAUGAUGACACUGAAAAUAAAUACGGCCACCUCACGGGCUCUAUAAUUAAUUAUUACAGCAUGAACUUCUCUGCUGGCGCUGAUACCUCUCGACUUUGCCUGACCUACGAUGAGUUUGUGAAGAGGUGUUCUGACCUUGAGAAGGUCACUCUGAGCGAUAUAUUCGCCCUUCAGCUUAUGCAGGUGCCACAAGUGACAGAAGAAGAUGCUCUUGCUGUCACGAGUCUCUACCCCACUCUUCUCUCGCUUGCUAAGGUGUACACCAUGCUUGAGGAGAUGCUGAAGAACAAGAGCGGCAUGGUCAAUGCGGGGGCUAGCAAGAACAUUUUCAAACUCAUCUGGGCGGAAGGAUGA
This 1812-nucleotide ribosomal RNA is filed under the name Triticum aestivum (bread wheat). RNAcentral describes it as "partial small subunit ribosomal RNA". Lineage: Eukaryota; Viridiplantae; Streptophyta; Magnoliopsida; Poales; Poaceae. The record is from RNAcentral.